GACGAACGCUGGCGGCGUGCUUAACACAUGCAAGUCGAACGGAAAGGCCCUGCUUUUGUGGGGUGCUCGAGUGGCGAACGGGUGAGUAACACGUGAGUAACCUGCCCUUGACUUUGGGAUAACUUCAGGAAACUGGGGCUAAUACCGGAUAGGAGCUCCUGCUGCAUGGUGGGGGUUGGAAAGUUUCGGCGGUUGGGGAUGGACUCGCGGCUUAUCAGCUUGUUGGGGGGGUAGUGGCUUACCAAGGCUUUGACGGGUAGCCGGCCGGAGAGGGUGACCGGCAAAAUGGGGGAGUGAAGGCGGACGGGCGCCAGCCGGGGGGCGGCAGGGGGGAAUUUUGAGGAAGGGGCGGAAGCUGUAGGCAGCAGGGCGGGGGGGGGGAUGGCGGCUGGGGGUUAGGAAACGGGUUGCGCCGGGGAAGAAGGGGGGGGGAGGGGAAUGGGUAAAGAGAACCGGGCUACUCAGGGC
This 468-nucleotide ribosomal RNA is filed under the name uncultured bacterium. RNAcentral describes it as "partial 16S ribosomal RNA". The stretch from base 18 to 367 matches the Rfam family "Bacterial small subunit ribosomal RNA", at positions 45 to 393 of the family's 1533-position model. The record is from RNAcentral.